This 529-nucleotide ribosomal RNA is filed under the name uncultured bacterium. RNAcentral describes it as "bacterial SSU rRNA". It matches the Rfam family "Bacterial small subunit ribosomal RNA", at positions 777 to 1304 of the family's 1533-position model. The record is from RNAcentral.
AAUAGAUACCCGGGUAGUCCAUGCCGUAAACGUUGGGCGCUAGAUGUGGGGACCAUUCCACGGUUUCCGUGUCGCAGCUAACGCAUUAAGCGCCCCGCCUGGGGAGUACGGCCGCAAGGCUAAAACUCAAAGGAAUUGACGGGGGCCCGCACAAGCGGCGGAGCAUGCGGAUUAAUUCGAUGCAACGCGAAGAACCUUACCAAGGCUUGACAUAUACGAGAACGCUCUAGAAAUAGAGAACUCUUUGGACACUCGUAUACAGGUGGUGCAUGGUUGUCGUCAGCUCGUGUCGUGAGAUGUUGGGUUAAGUCCCGCAACGAGCGCAACCCUCGUUCUAUGUUGCCAGCGGUUCGGCCGGGAACUCAUAGGAGACUGCCGGGGUCAACUCGGAGGAAGGUGGGGAUGACGUCAAAUCAUCAUGCCCCUUAUGUCUUGGGCUUCACGCAUGCUACAAUGGCCGGUACAAAGGGCUGCAAUACCGUAAGGUGGAGCGAAUCCCGAAAAAGCCGGUCUCAGUUCGGAUUGAGGU